AGCGGAGAAGAAGCCAGCUGCAGAGAAGGCACCAGCAGAGAAGAAGCCAAAGGCAGGGAAGAAGCUUCCCAAGGAUGGCGCAGCAGCUGCAGCAGACAAGAAGAAAAAGAGGGUUAAGAAGUCGGUGGAAACCUACAAGAUCUACAUUUUCAAAGUGCUGAAACAGGUUCACCCUGACAUUGGUAUAUCUAGCAAGGCUAUGGGUAUUAUGAACAGCUUUAUCAAUGACAUUUUUGAGAAACUUGCUCAAGAGUCUUCUCGUCUUGCUCGCUAUAACAAGAAGCCUACUAUUACUUCUCGGGAGAUCCAGACUGCUGUCAGAUUGGUGCUCCCUGGUGAAUUGGCUAAGCAUGCU
This 355-nucleotide unclassified non-coding RNA is filed under the name Hevea brasiliensis (rubber tree). Lineage: Eukaryota; Viridiplantae; Streptophyta; Magnoliopsida; Malpighiales; Euphorbiaceae. The record is from RNAcentral.